AAAAAUAUACAAAAGCUAAUAGCAUUUCCACAUAUUAUCUACAAACAGAUAUUGAAAACUUUAGAAUAUACAAUUUACAAUAUUGAAUUUGGAAGAUACAAUUAUACAACUUUGGAAUAUACAAUUUACAACACUUGAAGUUGUAAAAAACCUGACACUGAAAACCAUAUAACAUUGCCCAAAUAGAUUAGAGACCUAAAUAAAUAGGGAGAUAUAUCAUGUUUAUGGGUUGAAAGACCUAAUGUUGUUAGGAUGUUAAUUAUCUCCAAAUUAAUCUACAGUUAUAAUGCAAUUUCAAUCAAAAUCACAGCAGGAUUCUUUUGGGAUAGAAACUACUAAACUUUUAAUUUCUAAAAUUCAUAUGCAGGGGCUGGGGAUGUGGCUCAAGCGGUAGCGCGCUCGCCCGGCAUGCGUGCGGCCCGGGUUCGAUCCUCAGCACCACAUACCAACAAAGAUGUUGUGUCCGCCGAGAAUUGAAAAAUAAAUAUUAAAAAAAAAAUUCUUAAAAAAAAAUAAAAUAAAAUUCAUAUGCAAAUGCAAAGAACCCAGAAUGACUUUGAAAAAUAAGAGGGAAGCUGGAGAACUUAUACCAACUGACUUCAAACUGAUUACAAAGUUACAGUAACCAAGACACAUUGUAGCAUUCCUACACAGACAGAUAAAUAGACUGGAAAGUCCAGAAAUAGGUCACUUAUAUAUAGACAGCUGAUAUUUGACAAAGGUACAAAGGCAAUUCAGUGGAGAAAAGAUAAGUUUUCUUCAUAGAUGGUGCUGGAAUAAUUGUACACCCACAUGCAAAAAUAUUAACUCUAAUCAACACCUUAUAUCAUGUACAAAAAUAACUGAAUGGAUCGCAGACCUAAAUGUAAAGUUAUAAACUUUCAGAAUAAAACAUAAGAGAAAAUUUGUAGUAUCCCCAAACUGGAAACAACAGAAAUGUUCAUGGACAGAUGACUGGAUAAGCAAACUGUAGGUAUAAUUAUACAAGAGAAUAUUAUUACACAAUAAAAGGGAGAGGACUAUUGAACUGACACCUGCAAUAACAUGGCAGAUGAGAUAUGAUUCCAUUUGUUGUAAUAUUCUAGAAGAACAAUUAUAGCAACAGAAAGCUGUCUAAUGGGUUGAGCAGGAUGGGGAAGAAAGAGGGAGGGCACGAGGAAAUUUUCAAGAAGAUGGAUGUGUUCGUUAUCCAUAAUUGAUUAUGUGGAUGUUUUUAUGCAUGUACACGUGUGUCAGCAUGUCAAGCUACACACUUUAAAUUUAUGUGGCAUAUUGUAUAUCAAUUAUAACUCAGCCAAUCCGAUCCAUAGGAAAUACUCACCAGUACCAUAAAAAUGUAUUUGUAGGGAUGGUCAUUACAGAAAUAUUGAUAGGAGCAUAAAAAUUCAGAGGCAGAUUAAAACCCUUAAUAAUGGGAAGAUAUGAAGUAAAAUGUUCUUUGACACUGUAAAAGCAAGUAUCACACAUUUAUGUUACAUAAGAUUUGUGAUAAACUUACUGAUCCAGAGAGAGCUACACAGUUUGAAGAAAAGCAAUUGUAAGAUUUUGAAGUAUAAUCAUAAUUCAGCCACUACUUCCCACUCACACCCACCUGUAGAUAAAAUCCUUGAAGGAGAUGUAGUAAAUUAUCCAGUGGGUUGUAAUAGGCAGGAAUACUGUAGGUAUUUUUUGUAUUCUUAUUUAUUCUUUUGGCCCCUCCCCAUAUUCACCACAUUUUAUAACAGCUAUAAUCAACAAUUUU
Molecule: long non-coding RNA, 1741 nt
Filed under: Marmota monax (woodchuck)
Lineage: Eukaryota; Metazoa; Chordata; Mammalia; Rodentia; Sciuridae
Source: RNAcentral